RNAcentral lists this ribosomal RNA (640 nucleotides) under Lichtheimia ramosa. Its description in RNAcentral is "eukaryotic LSU rRNA". It matches the Rfam family "Eukaryotic large subunit ribosomal RNA", at positions 72 to 614 of the family's 3401-position model. Lineage: Eukaryota; Fungi; Mucoromycota; Mucoromycetes; Mucorales; Lichtheimiaceae. The record is from RNAcentral.
UGAUUCCCCUAGUAACGGCGAGUGAAGAGGGAAAAGCUCAAAGUUGGAACCUGGCUGCCCUAGGCAGUCCGGAUUGUAAACUAAAGAGCGUGAUUCCAGGCAAGCCGGUUGAUCAAGUCCUUUGGAAUGAGGCGCCACUGAGGGUGAGAGCCCCGUAAGUCGACUGAGCAUUUGUCUUUUGUGUUUCGCGUUCAAAGAGUCAGGUUGUUUGGGAAUGCAGCCUAAAGCUGGUGGUAAAUCCCACCUAAAGCUAAAUACAGGCGAGAGACCGAUAGCGAACAAGUACCGUGAGGGAAAGAUGAAAAGAACUUUGAAAAGAGAGUUAAACAGUAUGUGAAAUUGCCAAGAGGGAAGCAUUUGGAGUUAGAUUGACUAGGAGUUAAUCAGCUUGGUCUUUGGACUGGGUGUACUUGACUUCUUACAGUCUGCCAAUAGCAGUUAGUCCUAGUGGAAAAAACCAGAGGGAAGGUAGUCCUUCGGGAUGUUUAUAGACCUUUGGAAAAUACACUGGGAUUGACUGAGGAAUGCAGUAGAUGCCACUAAGGCUUCGUCUAGUGGGUGCUAGGCAAAGGUACUUGGUAUUUUCAGCUUGCUGAUGUGCUAGGUUACUCGAGUCUAGUCGCCUACUAGAACUGUAAUC